RNAcentral lists this ribosomal RNA (483 nucleotides) under uncultured bacterium. RNAcentral describes it as "partial 16S ribosomal RNA". It matches the Rfam family "Bacterial small subunit ribosomal RNA", at positions 28 to 507 of the family's 1533-position model. The record is from RNAcentral.
GACGAACGCUGGCGGCGUGCUUAACACAUGCAAGUCGAACGCUGAAGCUCAGCUUUUGUUGGGUGGAUGAGUGGCGAACGGGUGAGUAACACGUGAGUAACCUGCCCCCUUCUUUGGGAUAACGCCCGGAAACGGGCGCUAAUACUGGAUAUUCACUGGUCUUCGCAUGGGGGUUGGUGGAAAGGGUUUUUCUGGUGGGGGAUGGGCUCGCGGCCUAUCAGCUUGUUGGUGGGGUGAUGGCCUACCAAGGCUUUGACGGGUAGCCGGCCUGAGAGGGUGACCUGUAACAGUGGGACUGAGAUAAGGCCCAGACGCGUACGGGAGGCAGAAGUGUGGAAUAUUGCACAAUGGGCGCAAGCCUGAUGCAGCGACGCCGCGUGAGGGAUGGAGGCCUUCGGGUUGUGAAACUCUUUCGCUAAUGGUCAAGCCGCAACAAUGGUUGUGGUGAGGGUAGUGGGUAAAGAAGCGCCGGCUAACUACGUG